Non-coding RNA from Cinara cedri, 519 nucleotides. NCBI's taxonomy places the organism in Eukaryota, Metazoa, Arthropoda, Insecta, Hemiptera, Aphididae. The record is from the annotation of a GenBank genome assembly.
UUUUAAUUUAAUUUAAUAUUUUUAUUUUCAUAGGUAUAUUAUAAAAAUUUUAAAUCAUGAAUAUUAUCAAUGUCAUUUAUUUUCCACAGUUAUAGGUUUUAGGUAGAGAGUAUUAUUAUUAUUGUAAUUAAAAAAUAAGUACAGGAUACUGCAUACUGCCUUAUUAUGAAUAACAGUACAGUAGAAACCCUCUCAUCCACCACUCCAGUUGAUUCGACCAUACUAUUAUAAAUAUGAAUACUUUAAAAAUAUAUUUUGAUUUUCCAAUUUAUGGUAGAUACAUAAAAUUAAUUACCAAUUUACUAUGUCUCUUAUCGCUUGUCCAUAUUAGCACUUGUAUCUAAUCUAUAACCGACUUAUUUUUCAAUAUGAUUAUAUACAGUGUAUCCCUGUAUCCCACCAUGUUAAAUGGAUUUUUCUAGAGCUGUUAAUAAUAAAUAUUUAAUUACUAAAUAGUAAUUAUUUCUAAUUUCUGAACACUCUAUGUCAUUGAAAUUUUGUCUACUAUUUAGAGGGAGA